This 757-nucleotide long non-coding RNA is filed under the name Gallus gallus (chicken). Its description in RNAcentral is "long non-coding RNA NONGGAT003103". The record is from RNAcentral. Lineage: Eukaryota; Metazoa; Chordata; Aves; Galliformes; Phasianidae.
CGCGGGCUCCGACCGGACCCACGCAGAGCAACGCCAGCCCCAGCACAGCCACAGCAAGAGCGGCGGAAAGGCCGCGGGCCGCCAUCUUUACUCCAACAUCAGCAUCCUGUUCCCGCGGCACUUCCGGGAGCGGGGUGCUCUGGGACGUCACGUGACCCGCGGCGGGCGGGUCUGCGUGGGGCGGCCUCGCCUCACGGCCUUCCCGUGCUACCCCCGUGCCCGGGAGAUGCCCGCACGUCUCCCCGGGCCCGCCUGAUGCCCAAGAGACGACCCCCGGCCCGCCCCGCCUCUCGCUGAGGCAGUACCCCGGCCGAGCCGCCAGAUGUCAGCACGAGGCUUUGUGCCUCGCUCCGCUCUCAGUGACUGCUCCAGUCGCCAAAUAGCACGAAGCUUUCCCGUACAAUCCCAGGCCCUGCUUCAGCCCAUCCGCCUCUCCCGCUCAGAAGGAUUCCUUACAGACUUUUUUGGAAGUAUAUGAUGAGCAACCAUUGAGAUUGGAUGGAAAGCAUCAGCAGCACCAGGAAACUCUUGGCAUAUGGAUAGUCUGAAUUGCUUCUGCAUGGGAUCCAGUGUGGGGAAUGCUCUGAAUCACUGUAACAGAGGUUGAUAUCCAGAUGCCAUCCAGUGAAAGGGGAAGUGCAUGAAUCCAGGGGAGGCAAUGCAUGCAGCAGCUGCGCAGCUAUCAGAUCCCAGCCCUCUGCGAGCAGAAUCUGUCCUCCUCAGGGGAGUAAAUUUGCUCCCCCCACGUAAGUCUUUC